Molecule: ribosomal RNA, 175 nt
Filed under: uncultured bacterium
Lineage: Bacteria
Description: partial 16S ribosomal RNA
Rfam family: Bacterial small subunit ribosomal RNA
Source: RNAcentral
CUGGAAUCGCUAGUAAUCGCGGAUCAGAAUGCCGCGGUGAAUACGUUCCCGGGUCUUGUACACACCGCCCGUCACACCAUGGGAGUCGGAAAUGCCCGAAGUCUGUGACCCAACCGCGAGGAGGGAGCAGCCGAAGGCAGGUCGGAUGACUGGGGUGAAGUCGUAACAAGGUACC